UACGUAGGGGGCAAGCGUUGUCCGGAUUUACUGGGCGUAAAGAGCGUGUAGGCGGCCUGACAGGUCUGCUGUGAAAACUUGAGGCUCAACCUCGAGAUGUCGGCGGAAACCGUCUGGCUAGAGUCCGGAAGAGGAGAGUGGAAUUCCUGGUGUAGCGGUGAAAUGCGCAGAUAUCAGGAAGAACACCUAUGGCGAAGGCAGCUCUCUGGGACGGUACUGACGCUGAGACGCGAAAGCGUGGGGAGCGAACAGG
This 253-nucleotide ribosomal RNA is filed under the name uncultured bacterium. Its description in RNAcentral is "partial 16S ribosomal RNA". It matches the Rfam family "Bacterial small subunit ribosomal RNA", at positions 524 to 776 of the family's 1533-position model. The record is from RNAcentral.